AGCGAACGCUGGCGGCGUGCCUAACACAUGCAAGUCGAACGUGAAAGGGAGCAAUCCUGAGUAAAGUGGCGUACGGGUGAGUAACGCGUAGGUAAUCUACCCCAGAGUCUGGAAUAACCUGCCGAAAGGCGGGCUAAUACUGGAUAGAGCGACGGAAUCCGUAAUUGGGUUUUCGGGUAAAGGGAGGAAGCAAUUCCCUUUGCUCUGGGAUGAGCCUGCGUCUCAUUAGCUAGUUGGUGAGGUAAUAGCUCACCAAGGCUUUGAUGGGUAGCUGGUCUGAGAGGAUGAUCAGCCACACUGGAACUGAAACACGGUCCAGACUCCUACGGGAGGCAG
RNAcentral lists this ribosomal RNA (336 nucleotides) under uncultured Pseudomonadota bacterium. RNAcentral's name for it is "bacterial SSU rRNA". It matches the Rfam family "Bacterial small subunit ribosomal RNA", at positions 29 to 351 of the family's 1533-position model. Lineage: Bacteria; Pseudomonadati; Pseudomonadota. The record is from RNAcentral.